UACUCUUUAGUGAACUUCAGACCU
This 24-nucleotide non-coding RNA is filed under the name Arabidopsis thaliana (thale cress). The record is from RNAcentral. Lineage: Eukaryota; Viridiplantae; Streptophyta; Magnoliopsida; Brassicales; Brassicaceae.